This 1156-nucleotide ribosomal RNA is filed under the name uncultured Bacteroides sp. RNAcentral describes it as "bacterial SSU rRNA". It matches the Rfam family "Bacterial small subunit ribosomal RNA", at positions 10 to 1162 of the family's 1533-position model. Lineage: Bacteria; Pseudomonadati; Bacteroidota; Bacteroidia; Bacteroidales; Bacteroidaceae. The record is from RNAcentral.
AGUUUGAUCCUGGCUCAGGAUGAACGCUAGCUACAGGCUUAACACAUGCAAGUCGAGGGGCAGCAUGGUCUUAGCUUGCUAAGGCCGAUGGCGACCGGCGCACGGGUGAGUAACACGUAUCCAACCUGCCGUCUACUCUUGGACAGCCUUCUGAAAGGAAGAUUAAUACAAGAUGGCAUCAUGAGUUCGCAUGUUCACAUGAUUAAAGGUAUUCCGGUAGACGAUGGGGAUGCGUUCCAUUAGAUAGUAGGCGGGGUAACGGCCCACCUAGUCUUCGAUGGAUAGGGGUUCUGAGAGGAAGGUCCCCCACAUUGGAACUGAGACACGGUCCAAACUCCUACGGGAGGCAGCAGUGAGGAAUAUUGGUCAAUGGGCGCAGGCCUGAACCAGCCAAGUAGCGUGAAGGAUGACUGCCCUAUGGGUUGUAAACUUCUUUUAUAAAGGAAUAAAGUCGGGUAUGUAUACCCGUUUGCAUGUACUUUAUGAAUAAGGAUCGGCUAACUCCGUGCCAGCAGCCGCGGUAAUACGGAGGAUCCGAGCGUUAUCCGGAUUUAUUGGGUUUAAAGGGAGCGUAGAUGGAUGUUUAAGUCAGUUGUGAAAGUUUGCGGCUCAACCGUAAAAUUGCAGUUGAUACUGGAUAUCUUGAGUGCAGUUGAGGCAGGCGGAAUUCGUGGUGUAGCGGUGAAAUGCUUAGAUAUCACGAAGAACUCCGAUUGCGAAGGCAGCCUGCUAAGCUGCAACUGACAUUGAGGCUCGAAAGUGUGGGUAUCAAACAGGAUUAGAUACCCUGGUAGUCCACACGGUAAACGAUGAAUACUCGCUGUUUGCGAUAUACAGCAAGCGGCCAAGCGAAAGCGUUAAGUAUUCCACCUGGGGAGUACGCCGGCAACGGUGAAACUCAAAGGAAUUGACGGGGGCCCGCACAAGCGGAGGAACAUGUGGUUUAAUUCGAUGAUACGCGAGGAACCUUACCCGGGCUUAAAUUGCAGAUGAAUUACGGUGAAAGCCGUAAGCCGCAAGGCAUCUGUGAAGGUGCUGCAUGGUUGUCGUCAGCUCGUGCCGUGAGGUGUCGGCUUAAGUGCCAUAACGAGCGCAACCCUUGUUGUCAGUUACUAACAGGUUCCGCUGAGGACUCUGACAAGACUGCCAUCGUAAG